CAAUAGCGUAUAUUAAAGUUGUUGCAGUUAAAAAGCUCGUAGUUGGACUUCUGCGGGUGGCGGCCGGUCGUGCUCGAAACGGGCGUGAACUUGGCGUGCUGCCCGCAUCUUUGGGGAGAUUGUGCGUGGCAUUAAGUUGUCGUGCAUGGGAUUCUCAUCAUUUACUGUGAAAAAAUUAGAGUGUUUAAAGCAGGCCUUUGCCUUGAAUACAUUAGCAUGGAAUAAUAAGAUAGGACCGUUGUCUAUUUUGUUGGUUUACAGAUGUCGGUAAUGAUUAAUAGGGAUAGUUGGGGGUAUUCGUAUUCAGUUGUCAGAGGUGAAAUUCUUGGAUUUUCGGAAGACGCACGACUGCGAAAGCAUUUACCAAGGAUGGUUUCAUUAA
Molecule: ribosomal RNA, 382 nt
Filed under: uncultured eukaryote
Lineage: Eukaryota
Description: partial 18S ribosomal RNA
Rfam family: Eukaryotic small subunit ribosomal RNA
Source: RNAcentral